GCCGCCGCCUCCCGGGUGGGCGCCCUUCGCCGUGGACGCCGGCGGCCUAGGACGAGGGUUUCAUCACCUUACAUGGUUGUGAACCGAUGAACCUGUGUCCCCAUAAAAAGACGGACAACCCACUGUGUGAACUAUAGUUUGUGGACACAUUUAUAUUGGGUUCAUAGUGGCUUAAUGCACGCAGAUUCCUGCGAGUUCCCCUAAGUUCUUAGAGGACUGCUUUGCCUUUUGAAUCAGAGAGUUGCAAAGUUCGAUAAAGAAUGGCCCUUGUGGAUAAGCACAAAGUCAAGCGACAGCGAUUGGACAGAAUUUGUGAAGGUAUCCGCCCCCAGAUCAUGAACGGCCCCCUGCACCUCCGCCCCCUGGUGGCACUGCUGGAUGGCAGAGACUGCACCGUGGAGAUGCCCAUCCUGAAGGACCUGGCUACCGUGGCCUUCUGCGAUGCACAGUCCACUCAGGAAAUCCACGAGAAGGUGUUAAACGAAGCCGUGGGCGCCAUGAUGUACCACACCAUCACCCUUACCAGGGAAGACAUGGAGAAGUUCAAGGCACUGAGAGUGAUUGUGCGCAUCGGCAGUGGCUACGACAAUGUCGACAUCAAGGCUGCCGGCGAGCUUGGGAUCGCUGUCUGCAACAUCCCAUCUGCAGCUGUGGAAGGAACGGCUGAUUCCACCAUCUGCCACACCCUCAAUCUGUACUGGCGGAACACAUGGCUCUACCAGGCUCUGCGGGAAGGCACACGGGUACAGAGCGUGGAACAGAUCAGAGAGGUGGCCUCAGGAGCAGCCCGAAUCCGUGGGGAGACACUGGGCCUCAUUGGCUUUGGUCGCACGGGGCAGGCUGUUGCUGUUCGAGCCAAGGCCUUUGGAUUCAGCGUCAUAUUUUAUGACCCCUACUUGCAAGAUGGGAUAGAGCGGUCUUUGGGUGUACAGAGGGUCUAUACCCUGCAGGACUUGCUUUAUCAGAGCGACUGUGUAUCCUUGCACUGCAAUCUCAAUGAACAUAACCACCACCUCGACUUUACUAUUAAGCAGAUGAGGCAAGGGGCAUUCCUCGUGAAUGCAGCCCGCGGUGGCCUGGUGGAUGAGAAAGCCUUAGCCCAGGCCUUCAAAGAGGGCAGGAUACGAGGGGCAGCCCUUGACGUGCAUAAAUCGGAGCCCUUUAGCUUUGCUCAGGGUCCACUGAAAGAUGCACCGAAUCUCAUCUGUACCCCGCACACGUCCUGGUACAGUGAGCAAGCAUCCCUAGAGAUGAGGGAGGCAGCUGCCACGGAGAUCCGCCGAGCAAUCACAGGUCGCAUCCCAGAAAGCUUAAGAAACUGUGUCAACAAGGAAUUCUUUGUCACAUCCGCUCCUUGGUCAGUAAUAGACCAGCAAGCAAUUCAUCCGGAGCUCAAUGGUGCCACAUACAGGUAUCCACCAGGCAUCGUAGGCGUGGCUCCAGGAGCACUUCCUGCAGCCAUGGAAGGUAUCAUCCCCGGAGGCAUCCUGGUAACUCACAACCUCCCUACGGUGGCACACCCUUCCCAAGCUCCCUCUCCCAACCAGCCCACGAAACAUGGGGACAAUCGAGAGCACCCCAACGAGCAAUAGCAGAGAAUGCUGAAAGGUAAUCAUUCAGAUAAUCUUGGGACCAAGACAAGAGACGUGGAAAAUUGGAUGAACUAAGAGAAAAGGAUUAUGAAAGUCUUUUUAACUGAUUCUGAACAUAUGCAUCAUUGAUGUUGCAGUGUUAAAGCUACAAAAGCUAGAAAACUGAAGGUGUCAUCUGCUUACAGAAGCGCUGAAAGACUAGGAGUGAUUUAUUAACGACCAACUUCUGUUAUUGUGUAUUAAGUUUUUCAUCUGUGCAUCAAAUCACAAAGAAUAAAUAGAGCUUUUUUCCUUUAUCAGUUCCUUGGGCACAGCAGGUCCUGAGCAACUUGCUCUAGAAUGUUGCAUCAAGAGUUCCAAACACCAAAAUAAAGAAAUAUUGAGAGGAAAUCCACAUCUUAUGACUCUAGUCCCUUUGGUCGAUAGGGGCUCGUUACCUCUUUUUGCUAAUAGGAAGAUUAAAUUACUGCGAAAUGGGGAGAAAACUGUUUGCCUGUGUUAGACAUCU
Castor canadensis (American beaver) is the source of this 2100-nucleotide non-coding RNA. The record is from RefSeq and is a predicted model, not a curated record. Lineage: Eukaryota; Metazoa; Chordata; Mammalia; Rodentia; Castoridae.